GCUAACGGCAGUUGCUCCUUAAUAAGGAAAGACGGGUCGGGGCUGACAAAGACAGGUCAGUAAGUAGUACAGCGGUAAGUAACAAAUCCGCAAAUCGAAAUGAGCCAGGAAAACUGGAUGAUACG
This 125-nucleotide non-coding RNA is filed under the name unclassified sequences. Its description in RNAcentral is "RAGATH-33 RNA". It matches the Rfam family "RAGATH-33 RNA". Rfam says of the family: Environmental. Nearby to self-cleaving ribozyme genes The record is from Rfam by way of RNAcentral.